CCUACGGGGGGCAGCAGUGGGGAAUAUUGCGCAAUGGGCGAAAGCCUGACGCAGCGACGCCGCGUGAGGGAUGAAGGUCUUCGGAUCGUAAACCUCUGUCAGCAGGGAAGAACGGUCACUGUGCUAAUCAGCAGUGAAUUGACGGUACCUGCAAAGGAAGCACCGGCUAACUCCGUGCCAGCAGCCGCGGUAAUACGGAGGGUGCGAGCGUUAAUCGGAAUUACUGGGCGUAAAGCGCUCGUAGGCGGUAUGUCCAGUCAAGGGUGAAAUCCCCGCGCCAAACGGGGGAACUGCCUUUGAAACUGGCAAACUUGAGUGUGUGAGAGGAUAGUGGAAUUCCAGGUGUAGGAGUGAAAUCCGUAGAUAUCUGGAGGAACAUCAGUGGCGAAGGCGACUAUCUGGCACAUAACUGACGCUGAGGAGCGAAAGCGUGGGUAGCAAACAGGAUUAGAUACCCUGGUAGUC
Molecule: ribosomal RNA, 465 nt
Filed under: uncultured bacterium
Lineage: Bacteria
Description: partial 16S ribosomal RNA
Rfam family: Bacterial small subunit ribosomal RNA
Source: RNAcentral